GUAGAGGAGAUGGCGCAGGGGACA
Molecule: non-coding RNA, 24 nt
Filed under: Echinops telfairi (small Madagascar hedgehog)
Lineage: Eukaryota; Metazoa; Chordata; Mammalia; Afrosoricida; Tenrecidae
Also listed under: 13 other names
Source: RNAcentral